GGUGUAGCAAUACAUGCUGACGAGUGGCGCACGGGUGCGUAACGCGUAUGCAACCUACCUAUAACUGGGGAAUAGCCUUCUGAAAGGAAGAUUAACACCGCAUAAAAUCAUGAAACGGCAUCGUUUUAUGAUCAAAUCAUUGAGGUUAUAGAUGGGCAUGCGUGACAUUAGCUAGUUGGUGAGGUAACGGCUCACCAAGGCUACGAUGUCUAGGGGGUCUGAGAGGAUGAUCCCCCACACUGGUACUGAGACACGGACCAGACUCCUACGGGAGGCAGCAGUAAGGAAUAUUGGACAAUGGGCGCAAGCCUGAUCCAGCCAUGCCGCGUGAAGGAUGACGGCCCUCUGGGUUGUAAACUUCUUUUAUACGGGAAUAAACCCCUGGUUUCUACCGGGGCUGAAUGUACCGUAAGAAUAAGGAUCGGCUAACUUCGUGCCAGCAGCCGCGGUAAUACGAAGGAUCCAAGCGUUAUCCGGAUUUAUUGGGUUUAAAGGGUGCGUAGGCGGACUAUUAAGUCAGUGGUGAAAGCCUGCAGCUUAACUGCAGAACUGCCAUUGAUACUGAUGGUCUUGAGUACAUUUGAGGUGGGCGGAAUGUGUCAUGUAGUGGUGAAAUACUUAGAUAUGACACAGAACUCCGAUUGCGAAGGCAGCUCACUAAACUGUAACUGA
RNAcentral lists this ribosomal RNA (672 nucleotides) under uncultured bacterium. Its description in RNAcentral is "bacterial SSU rRNA". It matches the Rfam family "Bacterial small subunit ribosomal RNA", at positions 73 to 743 of the family's 1533-position model. The record is from RNAcentral.